Long non-coding RNA from Triticum aestivum (bread wheat), 2104 nucleotides. RefSeq lists it as uncharacterized. The transcript has 5 exons. Lineage: Eukaryota; Viridiplantae; Streptophyta; Magnoliopsida; Poales; Poaceae. The record is from RefSeq and is a predicted model, not a curated record.
UGAUCCCCUCCUUCCUCCCAGUCCCCACCGCCGCCACGAACUCUGCUCCGACACGAACUCUGCUCAAGCCCGCUCCCAUGGUUCCCGUCAUCGACAUGGCCUCUUUGCCCGUUCCGCAAGCCGAAGGCACCACCUACAGAAAGGACUCGAGUCCCACGAUCGAAAUCCCAGAUCAGACCGGAUCGCGGCGGCCGGCGGCGCCACGACAGUUCGCCGACCUGCAGUCCUCCUCACGGGACAAGCUGCGUUCGCGGUGCGCACUCGCUGCCCGCCGGCUUCGACGGUGUGGGCCGGGGCGCCGCCCUUCCGCAGAUCCGCAAUCGAGUCGUGCGUCCGGUCUGACGCCUCCCAUCGACGUCCACGGCUCUGUGCUCUUCCAUGUUCUCUCCUAGCGCAGGCUGUGGGGGCGCUACGCCGCUAUCUGCCGGCUCCUCAUACAAGAGCUGUGGACAAACUGAGCCCUGUGGGAAACAAUUGCAUCAGCUCAGCGACGUCCAGCGUUUCUCCUCUCUACGUUUCUUUGCACGCCUCAUCUCCAAGCACGAAUUCACGACGUGAUGGUCUGGUCUUGGUACUAUGUUGAUAGCGAGGGUGCAAGGCUCAAGGGAAGCAGCCGGUUCUGUAGUUCUUUGUAUGCUUAUAGUAUCUUGGAUGAGGGUUGAGGAAGCUGCUGAGUUAGCAUGGCGGGCUUUUAUCACGCAAUAUUCCGUGACAGAGCUAGUAGUGGCUGUGUUCCUGGUGGGCUUGACAGACCAGUUUUUAUCCGGAAGAAAGGCCUUUAGCGUGCGUUUGGAUCUGAAGAAACAAAGCAAGAUAUGGCUGUCAUUCCUCCUAACUUGGCUAGUUACUAGUGUCUCCUUGAUCCUUUGAUAAGAUGAGCUGAACAUAUUCAAGGUUUCUAGCGGGAAUCACUUCUUCGUGGCCAUUCUGGUGAUAAUGGUUGUACUCCAGGUAAAAAAACAAAUAGUAUAAUUCUUCUAUUCGACAUAUGUAGUAGUUUUGGUUAUUGUUAUAUGUUGUUUCCUUCGUAUGUAUAUGCAAGCUCUUAUCAUCGAGUUUCCUUGGCAAGUUAACUUCAACAAUCAUGUUAAGCUGGCAGCUAUAUGGUUGGUACUGAUGAGAGUUGCUCAUUUAGCUGCUGAUGAUCCAAGAAUUGUAAAGAUAAGGCGGGGGAACCUUAUUUGUGUGGUGGAUGCAAUUAUGUUAUGAGGUCAAUUUGUAACUUAUUAUACUACAGUUAUGGACCAAGCCAUGAAUCAGUACCAAAAUUCAGGAUUGGUGAGAAGAAACGUGAACUUAUAAUGUUUUUAGUACCCUAAUCUUGACUUGUCGCUGAUGGACCACAAUGUUCAAGCUCGGCACAUACUGUUGAACAGCUAAAAAUAUUGGAUCUCAAGGCACCUGCAAACUAAGCCGCUGGAAGAAAGUUCAGAGGUGUGUUGAGUCUUGGCAUUCCCAAGUAAUCAUUGGUGUUCAUUUUUGAAAUACUGCUUUGUACUCCCUCCGUAACAAGAUGUAAGACGUUUUUAUACCCUAUGCAAACCAAAAAAGUCUUUACAUUUUGGUACAAAGGUUGUAGUUUUAUUUCCCUGUAGCUGGUUACUGAGUGGCAUGCAGUAGAUUAGAUGAAGCAUGUGAGUGAGGAUUUGACAUGUAAGCGGCAAUCAACGAUGCAAGUCGUGACAGUAGUCGAUGUAAAGCGACAAUCAUCAUGUGCGGAGGUCAUGAGAGGAGUCGUUAAAGAGCGACCAUCACGGCCAGCAGAAGACGAGCACCAAGAACUGCAGAAAGGUGUAUGCGAGACGGGGCCUGUGUAAGGGAUACCGCCAAGAGUGGGCAGCAAGGGAGAUGUGUACCGGACGAACGCACUGUACUUAAUAUUUAUUUUUUUACUUGAAAAUCAGAAGCAGUCAGCGGAGCCAGCACCAAGGGGUCAAAGCAGGGAGCGAGGCAUAAUCGAGCGACCUUCACGGCAGGAUCCAGCAGGUAGCGCCGAGCUGCAGGUGGGGUGGAGAGAUGCACAACAGGGCAGGAGCGGACUCCUUGUGUUGCAACGACAUGAAUGUGGGCUGCCGUGUUAGGAUCAAACAGUGGAUGGACGAGA